CAAAUACUACCUCCGUCCGUAAAUACUUGUCAUCAAAAUGGAUAAAAGGAAAUGUAUCUAGAUGUAUUUUAGUUUUAGAUACAUCUCUUUUUAUCCAUUUUGAUGACAAGUAUUUUUGGACGGAGGGAGUAGAAA
Triticum aestivum (bread wheat) is the source of this 135-nucleotide non-coding RNA. Lineage: Eukaryota; Viridiplantae; Streptophyta; Magnoliopsida; Poales; Poaceae. The record is from Rfam.